GCCGUGACUUCCAACACUGUUUUAUAACUUUCAGCAUUGCUUCAUGAUAUCUUAUAUUGUUUUAUGACUGGCCUUAACUUCCGACACUAUUUUAUGACUACUUAGAAUGUUUCAUGACAUCUGAAAGUCAUUUUAUGACUUUCGAUAAUGUUUUAUGACUUCAUGCAUUAAUGAAUUCUGGCAUCGUGUUAUGAUAUCGUGCCGUUUUAUGAUAUCGUGCCGUUUUAUGACUUUCUGCAUUGUUUUAUAAUAUUCUAUACUAAAUACCAACUGACAGAGGUAAUUAAACGUUGUGCACUGAGCUCAAUUAUAAGAACACAUACAAGAAUACACUAAUGCAGUUAGUUAACACC
Molecule: long non-coding RNA, 353 nt
Filed under: Elaeis guineensis (African oil palm)
Lineage: Eukaryota; Viridiplantae; Streptophyta; Magnoliopsida; Arecales; Arecaceae
Description: long non-coding RNA (EGUI_LNC030029)
Source: RNAcentral